CGGCCUAGCGCGGGGGAGGGAAGAGGCGGCGCCGCCCGGACGGCCCCACCAGGCUCGGUGGCCGCGCCGCUGCCCUCGUUCGCGGCCGAUCUGGGUUCGCCAGAGUCUCUCCCGUUCCCGCCCGAGGGCCCUGCGCAGCCAGCCUCUCCCCGCUCCGCUCCCGGCGGGGUCCGGUGUCAGCUCCAAGUUUUGAGCCGUUGCCUUUCGGGCGCUCGAGGCUGAGUGGGCGGCGCCAUCGCUCCCUGCCUUUCGCGAGAUGCGCCGGCAGCCCCGUGGAAGAUUUUGAAGAGACCAAACAAGGGAAGGGUGCUACUGGGUGUCCUGUCUAGCACACUUUUCAGUUGUAUCUACCACAGGAUCCUAAUGCAAGAUAUGUUGUACUAUUCCAGUGCUUAAAGUCAAAUUGGACAGAAUGUCGUGUCAAGCCACUUGAAAACAACGAAGGACGUGACAUCAUCUCGUCUCAUUUGUGGCAUAAUCCACCCCAGGCCACUGCCAUCCCAAGGCGCACACACUGAUUCUGUCUGGUACCGCGUGGGGUCCUCAGGAGGAACAAUGCCUACCUGUCACGCAGGGCCGUGAGCCCCCUUCCUAGAGGGGAGGGGGCAGGGGGUGGCCUGAGGGAAGCCAGUGAGAGGACACACGGUGAACCGGUCCUUGGAAGAUGAGACUUUGGGCAGGUAAAGGGGAAAGGGUGUCAGGCAG
This is a long non-coding RNA of Lynx canadensis (Canada lynx), 705 nucleotides long. RefSeq lists it as uncharacterized. The transcript is spliced from 4 exons. The record is from RefSeq and is a predicted model, not a curated record. NCBI's taxonomy places the organism in Eukaryota, Metazoa, Chordata, Mammalia, Carnivora, Felidae.